UACGUAUGGGGCGAGCGUUGUCCGGAAUUAUUGGGCGUAAAGGGUACGUAGGUGGUCUUUCAAGUCGGUGGUUAAAGGCUACGGCUCAACCGUAUUAAGCCGCCGAAACUGGAAGACUUGAGUGCAGGAGAGGAAAGUGGAAUUCCUAGUGUAGCGGUGGAAUGCGUAGAUAUUAGGAGGAAUACCGGUGGCGAAGGCGACUUUCUGGCCAUAAACUGACGCUGAGGUACGAAAGCGUGGGUAGCAAGCAGG
RNAcentral lists this ribosomal RNA (252 nucleotides) under uncultured bacterium. Its description in RNAcentral is "partial 16S ribosomal RNA". It matches the Rfam family "Bacterial small subunit ribosomal RNA", at positions 524 to 776 of the family's 1533-position model. The record is from RNAcentral.